Molecule: ribosomal RNA, 1274 nt
Filed under: Glomeromycotina sp.
Lineage: Eukaryota; Fungi; Glomeromycota
Description: SSU rRNA
Rfam family: Eukaryotic small subunit ribosomal RNA
Source: RNAcentral
AACUGCGAUGGCUCAUUAAAUCAGUUAUAAUUUAUUUGAUAGUACCUUACUACUUGGAUAACCGUGGUAAUUCUAGAGCUAAUACAUGCUAAAGCCUCCGACUUCUGGAAGGGGGUGUAUUUAUUAGAUAAAAAACCAAUAUCGGGCAACCGAUUCCCUUGGUGAUUCAUAAUAACUUUUCGAAUCGUACGACUUUACGUUGACGAUGAAUCAUUCAAAUUUCUGCCCUAUCAACUUUCGAUGGUAGGAUAGAGGCCUACCAUGGUGGUAACGGGUAACGGGGUGUUAGGGCACGACACCGGAGAGGGAGCCUGAGAAACGGCUACCACAUCCAAGGAUGGCAGCAGGCGCGCAAAUUACCCAAUCCCGACACGGGGAGGUAGUGACAAUAAAUAACAAUACGGGGUUCUUUAGGAUCUCGUAAUUGGAAUGAGUACAAUUUAAAUCUCUUAACGAGGAACAAUUGGAGGGCAAGUCUGGUGCCAGCAGCCGCGGUAAUUCCAGCUCCAAUAGCGUAUAUUAAAGUUGUUGCAGUUAAAAAGCUCGUAGUUGAAUUUCGGGGUUAGUAGGUUGGUCAUGCCUCUGGUAUGUACUGGUCUCACUGAUUCCUCCUUCCUGAUGAACCUUAAUGCCAUUUAUUUGGUGUUUUGGGGAAUUUGGACUGUUACUUUGAAAAAAUUAGAGUGUUUAAAGCAAGCUAACGCUUGAAUACAUUAGCAUGGAAUAAUGAAAUAGGACGUUCGAUCCUAUUUUGUUGGUUUCUAGGAUUGACGUAAUGAUUAAUAGGGAUAGUUGGGGGCAUUAGUAUUCAAUUGUCAGAGGUGAAAUUCUUGGAUUUAUUGAAGACUAACUACUGCGAAAGCAUUUGCCAAGGAUGUUUUCAUUAAUCAAGAACGAAAGUUAGGGGAUCGAAGACGAUCAGAUACCGUCGUAGUCUUAACCAUAAACUAUGCCGACUAGGGAUCGGAUGAUGUUAAUUUUUUAAUGACUCAUUCGGCGCCUUACGGGAAACCAAAGUGUUUGGGUUCCGGGGGGAGUAUGGUCGCAAGGCUGAAACUUAAAGGAAUUGACGGAAGGGCACCACCAGGGGUGGAGCCUGCGGCUUAAUUUGACUCAACACGGGGAAACUCACCAGGUCCAGACAUAGUAAGGAUUGACAGAUUGAGACCUCUUUCUUGAUUCUAUGGGUGGUGGUGCAUGGCCGUCUAGUUGGGGAGUGAUUGUCUGUUAAUCCGUUACGACGAACCUUACCUGCUAAUAGCUAGCCCACCUUG